AUUGAACGCUGGCGGCAUGCCUUACACAUGCAAGUCGAACGGUAACAGGUCUUCGGAUGCUGACGAGUGGCGAACGGGUGAGUAAUACAUCGGAACGUGCCCGAUCGUGGGGGAUAACGGAGCGAAAGCUUUGCUAAUACCGCAUACGAUCUACGGAUGAAAGCAGGGGACCGCAAGGCCUUGCGCGGACGGAGCGGCCGAUGGCAGAUUAGGUAGUUGGUGGGAUAAAAGCUUACCAAGCCGACGAUCUGUAGCUGGUCUGAGAGGACGACCAGCCACACUGGGACUGAGACACGGCCCAGACUCCUACGGGAGGCAGCAGUGGGGAAUUUUGGACAAUGGGCGCAAGCCUGAUCCAGCCAUGCCGCGUGCAGGAUGAAGGCCUCGGGUUGUAAACUGCUUUUUGUACGGAACGAAAAGACUCUGGUUAAUACCUGGGUCCAUGACGGUACCGUAAGAAUAAGCACCGGCUAACUACGUGCCAGCAGCCGCGGUAAUACGUAGGGUGCAAGCGUUAAUCGGAAUUACUGGCGUAAAGCGUGCGCAGGCGGUGAUGUAAGACAGAUGUGAAAUCCCCGGGCUCAACCUGGGAACUGCAUUUGUGACUGCAUCGCUGGAGUACGGCAGAGGGGGAUGGAAUUCCGCGUGUAGCAGUGAAAUGCGUAGAUAUGCGGAGGAACACCGAUGGCGAAGGCAAUCCCCU
Molecule: ribosomal RNA, 703 nt
Filed under: uncultured bacterium
Lineage: Bacteria
Description: bacterial SSU rRNA
Rfam family: Bacterial small subunit ribosomal RNA
Source: RNAcentral